RNAcentral lists this long non-coding RNA (1296 nucleotides) under Anser brachyrhynchus (Pink-footed goose). RNAcentral's name for it is "lncRNA (ENSABRG00000012577.1)". Lineage: Eukaryota; Metazoa; Chordata; Aves; Anseriformes; Anatidae. The record is from RNAcentral.
AUGAAGCCUGGGGCCAAGGCGGGAGUUGCAGCCUGGGGUUCGCCAUGGGACCCAGGGGCCUGGUGGGAGUUGCCACCCAGGGUCUGUCAUGGGGCACGGUGGCCCAGAGGCAGUCAUUGCCUUGGGUCUGCUGCAGGGCAGGGGGCCUGGCGGGAGUCGUUGCCCAGUGUCUGCCACGGGGUUCAGAGUCCCGGUGGGAGUCACCUCCAGGGGUCCACCUCGGGCCCCGGAGACCCAGCGGGAGUCACCUCCCGGGGUCCACCUCGGGCCCCGGAGUCCCGGCGGGAGUCGCCGCCCGGGGUCCGCAGCAGGGUACAGGGGCCCGGUGGGAGUCGCCACCCGGGGGAUGCCGUGGGGCCCAGAGUCCACCAGGAGAUGCCGCCCGGGGUCCGCUGCAGGGCCUUCCGGGGGUCCGGCAAGAGUUGCCGCCUGGGGUCCGCCGCAGGGCCUGGGGGCCCAGAGGGAGAUGCCACCUGUGGUCCACCACAGAGCCCAGUGGCCCGGUGGGAGUUGCUGCCCGGGAUCUGCCACGUGGCCUGGUGGCUCGGCAGGAGUCAGCGCCCGGGGUCUGCUGCAGGGCCCAGGGGCCCGGCGGGAUUCGGCGCCAGGGUCCGCCACGGGGUCUGGGGGCCUGGCAGGAGUCGCCACCCGGAGUACGCCACAGGGUUGGGGGAACAGCGGGAGUCGGCACCCUGGGUGCGCCGAGGGGAUCAGGGGCCCGGCGGCAGUCUGCGCACGGGGUUGGCUGUGGGGCCUGGAGGCCUGGCGGGAGUCAGAGGCUGGGGUCUGCCACGGGGCCCGGGAUCCCGGCGGGAGUCAGCGCCUGGGGUCUGCCACGGGUCCUGGGGGCCAAGCAAGACUCUCCCCCCAGGGUCCGGUGCACAGCCCAGUGGCCCGGUGGGAGUCACUGCCCGGGCUCCGCCAUGGGGCCCGGGGGCCUGGCAUAAGUCGCCGCCGGGGUCUGCUGCAGAGCCCGGGGGGCCUGUGGGAGUCGGCACCCAGGGACAGCCACGGGGCCUCGGGCCCCAGUGGGAGUUGCCACCCAGGGACCGUCAUGGAGCCCAGAGGUGUGGUAGGAGUCAGUUCCGAGGGUCCGCUGCGGGCUCCUGGGACUCAGCGGGAGUUGCCACCCAGGGGCCGCCGUGGGGCCCGGGGGACCGGCGGGAGUCGCUGCCCAUGGUCAGCAGCGGGGCCCAAGGGCCCAGCAGGAGUUGCAGCCCGGGGUCUGCCUCGAGGCCUGGGGGCUCGGCGGGAGUCGCCGCCUGGGGUCCGCCGCAGGGCCCGGCGGCCCGGUAG